Molecule: ribosomal RNA, 465 nt
Filed under: Vreelandella stevensii
Lineage: Bacteria; Pseudomonadati; Pseudomonadota; Gammaproteobacteria; Oceanospirillales; Halomonadaceae
Description: partial 16S ribosomal RNA
Rfam family: Bacterial small subunit ribosomal RNA
Source: RNAcentral
CCUACGGGUGGCAGCAGUGGGGAAUAUUGGACAAUGGGCGAAAGCCUGAUCCAGCCAUGCCGCGUGUGUGAGGAAGGCCUUCGGGUUGUAAAGCACUUUCAGUGGGGAAGAAAGCCUUGGGGCUAAUACCCUCGAGGAAGGACAUCACCCACAGAAGAAGCACCGGCUAACUCCGUGCCAGCAGCCGCGGUAAUACGGAGGGUGCGAGCGUUAAUCGGAAUUACUGGGCGUAAAGCGCGCGUAGGCGGUCUGAUAAGCCGGUUGUGAAAGCCCCGGGCUCAACCUGGGAACGGCAUCCGGAACUGUCAGGCUAGAGUGCAGGAGAGGAAGGUAGAAUUCCCGGUGUAGCGGUGAAAUGCGUAGAGAUCGGGAGGAAUACCAGUGGCGAAGGCGGUCUUCUGGACUGACACUGACGCUGAGGUGCGAAAGCGUGGGUAGCAAACAGGAUUAGAUACCCGAGUAGUC